GUGAAUCAUCAAAUUUUUGAACGCAAAUUGCACUCUCUGGUAUUCCGGGGAGUAUGCCUGUUUGAGGGUCAGUUUAAAUAGAAAUCGGUGUGGCUGCUGCAUUUCGUGGUGAUGCACAGGAUGUGGGUCGUCUUGGGUUCGGUUAAGUGACUUAAAAUUUUGCAUGAUUUUUUCGAACGUAUUUAAAUGUGUUUAAGUACGUUUGCGAUAUCGAAUACUAGGUGAGGUCAUGCUCAUGAUACGCGC
RNAcentral lists this unclassified non-coding RNA (246 nucleotides) under Glomeraceae sp. RNAcentral describes it as "partial contains 5.8S ribosomal RNA and internal transcribed spacer 2". The stretch from base 1 to 71 matches the Rfam family "5.8S ribosomal RNA", at positions 84 to 154 of the family's 154-position model. Lineage: Eukaryota; Fungi; Glomeromycota; Glomeromycetes; Glomerales; Glomeraceae. The record is from RNAcentral.